This 247-nucleotide ribosomal RNA is filed under the name uncultured bacterium. RNAcentral describes it as "partial 16S ribosomal RNA". It matches the Rfam family "Bacterial small subunit ribosomal RNA", at positions 796 to 1041 of the family's 1533-position model. The record is from RNAcentral.
CAUGCCGUAAACGUUGGGUGCUAGACGUGGGGGCCUUUCCACGGUUUCCGUGUCGUAGCUAACGCAUUAAGCACCCCGCCUGGGGAGUACGGCCGCAAGGCUAAAACUCAAAGGAAUUGACGGGGGCCCGCACAAGCAGCGGAGCAUGUGGUUUAAUUCGAAGCAACGCGAAGAACCUUACCUGGACUUGACAUACCCUGAAUAUCUUAGAGAUAAGAGAAGCCCUUCGGGGCAGGGAUACAGGUGG